RNAcentral lists this transfer RNA (59 nucleotides) under Salmo salar (Atlantic salmon). It matches the Rfam family "tRNA", at positions 8 to 63 of the family's 71-position model. From Rfam's summary of the family: Transfer RNA (tRNA) molecules are approximately 80 nucleotides in length. Their secondary structure includes four short double-helical elements and three loops (D, anti-codon, and T loops). The record is from Rfam by way of RNAcentral. RNAcentral also lists the same sequence under 1 other name. Lineage: Eukaryota; Metazoa; Chordata; Actinopteri; Salmoniformes; Salmonidae.
UGGCUCAGUAGGUAAGAGCACGGCGCUAGCAACGUCAAGGUUGUGGGUUCAAUCCCCGC